UAGGGAAUCUUCGGCAAUGGACGAAAGUCUGACCGAGCAACGCCGCGUGAGUGAAGAAGGUUUUCGGAUCGUAAAACUCUGUUGGUAGAGAAGAACGUUGGUGAGAGUGGAAAGCUCAUCAAGUGACGGUAACUACCCAGAAAGGGACGGCUAACUACGUGCCAGCAGCCGCGGUAAUACGUAGGUCCCGAGCGUUGUCCGGAUUUAUUGGGCGUAAAGCGAGCGCAGGUGGUUUAUUAAGUCUGGUGUAAAAGGCAGUGGCUCAACCAUUGUAUGCAUUGGAAACUGGUAGACUUGAGUGCAGGAGAGGAGAGUGGAAUUCCAUGUGUAGCGGUGAAAUGCGUAGAUAUAUGGAGGAACACCGGUGGCGAAAGCGGCUCUCUGGCCUGUAACUGACACUGAGGCUCGAAAGCGUGGGGGAGCAAACAGGAUUAG
RNAcentral lists this ribosomal RNA (435 nucleotides) under uncultured bacterium. RNAcentral describes it as "partial 16S ribosomal RNA". It matches the Rfam family "Bacterial small subunit ribosomal RNA", at positions 355 to 781 of the family's 1533-position model. The record is from RNAcentral.